AAAAAUAGAAGACAUCAUGAAGAUCAUUGUGCAAAAAAUCUCAGGUGAAUUGGAUAAGUAUUUAUGGAGAUAUAGAUUUUUGAAUUGAAUGAAAAAAAUAAAAAUCACAUGAAGAACUAGCAUGAAAUGGCAUGUAAUAAAAAUGCAAAGGCAAUAAUGAAAACAGCUGAGCCAAGGAUCGAUCUGCGUCCAAUUUCAAAUUGAGGCGCCAGCACAUGAAACGCAGUCGUUUCAUUAAUGUGCUGGCAGUCAACCGAAGUCAAC
RNAcentral lists this long non-coding RNA (264 nucleotides) under Lathyrus oleraceus (garden pea). Its description in RNAcentral is "Pisum sativum (pea) long non-coding RNA (PSAT_LNC025161)". The record is from RNAcentral. Lineage: Eukaryota; Viridiplantae; Streptophyta; Magnoliopsida; Fabales; Fabaceae.